This 400-nucleotide ribosomal RNA is filed under the name uncultured bacterium. RNAcentral's name for it is "bacterial SSU rRNA". It matches the Rfam family "Bacterial small subunit ribosomal RNA", at positions 356 to 773 of the family's 1533-position model. The record is from RNAcentral.
GGGGAAUAUUGGACAAUGGGCGAAAGCCUGAUCCAGCAAUGCCGCGUGAGUGAUGAAGGCCUUAGGGUUGUAAAGCUCUUUUACCCGGGCUGAUAAUGACAGUACCGGGAGAAUAAGCUCCGGCUAACUCCGUGCCAGCAGCCGCGGUAAUACGGAGGGAGCUAGCGUUGUCCGGAAUUACUGGGCGUAAAGCGCACGUAGGCGGCUUUGUAAGUUAGGGGUGAAAUCCCGGGGCUCAACCUCGGAAUUGCCUUUAAGACUGCAUCGCUUAAAUCCAGGAGAGGUGAGUGGAAUUCCGAGUGUAGAGGUGAAAUUCGUAGAUAUUCGGAAGAACACCAGCGGCGAAGGCGGCUCACUGGACUGGUAUUGACGCUGAGGUGCGAAAGCGUGGGGAGCAAAC